GAUCAUGGCUCAGGAUGAACGCUAGCGACAGGCCUAACACAUGCAAGUCGAGGGGCAGCGGAGAGGUAGCAAUACCUUGCCGGCGACCGGCGCACGGGUGAGUAACACGUAUGCAAUCCACCUGUAACAGGGGGAUAACCCGGAGAAAUCCGGACUAAUACCCCAUAAUAUGGGCGCUCCGCAUGGAGAGUCCCAUUAAAGGAGAGCAUUUGGUUACAGACGAGCGAUGCGCU
This 233-nucleotide ribosomal RNA is filed under the name uncultured bacterium. RNAcentral describes it as "partial 16S ribosomal RNA". It matches the Rfam family "Bacterial small subunit ribosomal RNA", at positions 15 to 237 of the family's 1533-position model. The record is from RNAcentral.